This 4555-nucleotide long non-coding RNA is filed under the name Citrus maxima (pomelo). RNAcentral describes it as "long non-coding RNA (CMAX_LNC004160)". Lineage: Eukaryota; Viridiplantae; Streptophyta; Magnoliopsida; Sapindales; Rutaceae. The record is from RNAcentral.
AAUUUACACGUCACACAAAACGACAAAACCAUAUUCAUAACUAUCUACAUACAUACAGUUCCGUGGCCGCAUGCGUCCAUAGCUCCACAUAGAUUUUGUUGCUUGUGAACAUUUCAUCCCAUCCAUCAAACCGUGGUCUUACAUCCCGAUGUCUGGGGGUCCCACAUCGCCGGCACCAAGUACUUGCGCCCAUUUAUCCCGUGAGCGUUGUAGCUCGCUCCACUUACCUUAUCCACCAAGACCCGACCCGGAUAUCCCGGAUAAGAACCUGACCCAAACACACCCGUACAUGCCGUGGCCGCCUCAAUCGGCGCCGUUGGCGGGCCUUGGAAAUACCCGUUAUUGAACGGGUUAGUGACGGUGUUGGCCAAAAGGGUAGCUAAAUUGAUAAUCAUUCCAUCAACGCCGACGUCUCCGUUAGGCGCGACUAAUGGCGGGGUUUGAGGGCCGUAAAUGGGCUGGUGGAAAGGCCAGGCACAGUAGCCAGGGCACUGAGUCUCGGAGUUUCCAACCCAGAUAUAGGUUCCACGGCUGGCCAACCCACGACCCGGCAGAGCAGACCCGUGGGUCCCACACCUGUUCAUGCAGAAGCCGUCCACGGCCACAUCCUUCGCCGUCAAAACGACGUUAAUUGACGUAGGGAGAGUGUUCGUUACUUUCUUGGACAAAGCAAGCAAAUGAACCUUCUUCAGUGCUUUGCCAAGGGAGUAGUUUUCCAAGAGGACUUGAUGCCGUACGACGAGGUUAGACGAACCUCCUUUGUAAUUUUCAGUUGUUUUCCACCACGAUGACGUGGAGGGCUGCGGGGCCCUGUUGAAAUUUAGGGAGUGGAUGAAGUCAACUAUUAUCGAGCGUUGGAUGGGAGUGAACUUGCCGUACCAGAUGAGAUUAACGGUGACGUUGCCUUUUAGAAGAGCGCCGUUGUGGUAUUUCAGGACGAGCGGUUGUUCUUGAACUAAAGCGUUGAGUUUUCUCGUAGUGGAAAGAGUGGGAGAGAUAAGAGUAGAACAGAAUAGGAAGAGGAUGGGAAAACUGUAAAUAGGAGCCAUGACUCCGGCAAAGAAGUUGAUAACGAGGCUGACAGAAAUAGGAACGUCUGGAGAGGCCGUGAGAGAACGUGAGGUGGAGAUGGUAUUUAUACUAGGGGUUUAUAGGAAGACAGCUGUAGAAGAGGGAAGGCGUCAACAUUGAGGAGUGACACGUGGAAAUAUCUUAUUAGUUGGAAAAUGUGAAGAAGGUUUGCCAGGCUGUAAGGUUCGCCUUGAUGACGUGGCAGUCUACUGUGAUGGGAUGUGAUAGAGACAUCGUAGUUUAGGCUGAAAAUAAAGCAGAUGCGAAGCAUGCAUGAGAGAUCAUGAGGGGCUGAGAGCAAAUUGAUAUUUUAUAAGAUGCCAAAAAAUAAAAAAUAAAAAUAAAAAUUUAAUUGUAAAACCACCAACAUUACCAUACACGGCUAAGUGAUAAUACUCGUCUUUGAACUUGGUAUUUUUAAAGUGAUAAACUUUUAGAGGCAAUAGAUCAUAGUUAAAAGUUCCUACAAAUAUAUAUAUAUAUAUAUAUAUAUAUAUAACUAUAAUUAAAAGUAAAAAUAUUGAUUUUCAUAAGUUACAGGGAUUAAUUUAUUAAAAAAUAUAUAUUAUAUGGUUUAAUGUCAUAAAUAAUAAUGCUCAUGAUUAAGGAAAAAAAUUAUGUAAGGUGAUUUGCCCAAGUUUUAUUGCAUUAACCGUUAAGUAUGUGAAUCUUAUCUUAAGGACCCGUCAAACUUGCCAAAUUGAUGAACUUUUGGGGGUAAUAAAUCAUAACUAAAAGUUACUAAAAAAAUUAUAAUUAAAAGUAAUAUAUCAAAUUUCAUAAAGUUAGAGGGGUUAAUUUAUAAAAAUAUACAUUUUAUGGUUUACUAUUAUAAAUGAUAAAUGCUCAUAGUUAAAGAGAAACAAUUAUAUAAGGAGGCUUUACAAGCCUUAUUGCAUUUAACGGGAAGUUGCCAUUAGUAGAUCUUUAAUGGUCCAGCCGUCAAGGCGUGUCCCAAAAAAUUUUUUCUCAUGCUAGAUCGGCCAAUAAAAAUAUAUAAUCUUCUUCUUCUUUUUUAAUUAAGAUUUUAUGGUAGAUUUUGUCUAUAUUAACUAUAAAACUUUUUUAACUAUGCUUAAUAAAUACUUGAACUAAGUUAUAAUUUUAUCGAUUUACCUUCCUAUAAGAGUCAUGAUUGUAAUAUUAGUAUAUUGUAACAUAAAACUUUAAAAAAAUGAUAUUAGUAUAUCAUAAUGAUAUAACAUAAAUUUCUUUCUAAAAUCAUGUAUUUGUUAGGUUUAUAAUUUGAAUUAUUUGUCAACAUUAGGUUGCAAAAUCUAAUAAGAUAGCGUUUAUUUUUCAAAUUAGGGUGGAAAUUCUGACUAAGAUUUGGAGUGUAGAGUGAGAUUGAGAGUAAGCUCUUUACUUACAUUGGAAUAAGAAUAUGAAAUAAGAAUUAGAAUUCCAUUUAUAUGUUUAUUUUGUGUUGGAUUUGGAUACUUUGUCUUGGAUUGGAGUGAAUUGUUUAAAUUACAAUUUUACCAUACAUAAAGAAUUUUAGGUUUUAAUUACGAAGUGAAAAAAUAUAUUUGUAAAAUAAACUAUUUAUUUUAUUAUUAAUUUUAAUUACAUAAAUUAGUAAUUAUUAUCAAUAUUCUUAAUUAUGUAAAUCAUAUUUUUUAUUAAUUUUAAAUUUAAUUAUGUAAAUUAAAAAUUAUUGAUAAGAGCAACACAAAUGAAACAUUAUUAUUAAUAAUAUAGUACAAAAUUAAUAUUUUCUUAUAAUAAACUAUUUAUUAUUAUUAUUUAUUAAUAUUAAAUAAAUAUAAUACUAUUAAAAAUUAAAUAUAUAUAAUAAGAUUAUAUUUUCAAAUAAAGAUACUAUAUAGCAAUAUUAUUAAUUUUCUAUGAAUAUAAUUAUAUUAUUUUUAAGUAAUUUUAACUUAGAGUCAAUGUAAAUUAUUAUUUUCAACUAAACAUAAUAAUGUUAUAUUUAAAUAAUUUUAACAAUAUUAUUUUUAAUAAAUAUAAUAUUAUUAAAUAAUAAUAUAAUAAUAUUUAAAUAAAUAUGAUAUUAGUAUUUUGAAAUAAAUGUAAUAUUAUUUUGAAAUAAAUAUGAUAUUAGUAUUUUGAAAUAAAUGUAAUAUUAUUUUAUUUUAAUAAUAUAAUUAUAUUGUAUUUAAUAAAUGAGUGAUAAAAAAAGAAGAGUAAGAAGUGGAUUCCCACUCCCACCUUUUCCCAUGAGAGUGGGAAUUCUACUUUUCACUCCAAAAAUAAAUGAGACUCCUUUCUAAAUAUGAAAGUAAACACCAAAGUAAAAAACUUUAAACGAAAAGGAGUAGUACUAAUAAGGCAAUUAAUUCUAUAUAUUUUUAUCGGACGAUGGAAAACUAAGUUUAAUUCUUUCCUAAGUUUUCCAUAAGUUAAUCUAAUAAAAUGACUUAAAUAAUUAGUAAUACAUUUUUUGGAUUAGAAACUAAAUAACUAUAACAUUACUGUUUGUAUUUUGUUUUAAUUUUAUGUUAUGUUAGAUUUUUAAUAUGUUCAGUAUAUUUAGCCCUAUAUUAUUUGUAUUGUGUCAAUGAUUUUCAGAUUUUUUUUUCUUUCCCUAUCCUCAAUUGGUUGUUACUUAAUUUUUCUUUACUAAACCAACUUUUCAAAUUGGUUGUAAUAUAACAUUACUAAACAACUUUCCAAUUAUUAAAAGAAAAAGGUUAAAUAAUUAUUUAUUCAUUUGUACCCAUUUUCCGAGUUGAGCGUCUAUAAGUUUAUGACGUCAGCUCAACGAUUCAGUACGAGUCGUAUGAAAGUUGUACUAUGCUUGUACCCUACAGCUACCAUACCAGACCCGUUUUACCCGUUUACAUUCCUAAUCACGUCGAUAGACCGUAUUGGAACACAUCAACAAUAAUUUUCCUUUUAUAACCCAAAAAAAAUAAAUAUGGUUUAAAGUUUAUCCUCUGGGCCCCUUGCUUCAAUAAAUGAGGAAAAUGAUCAAUAUCACUGAUUGAUUGAUCUUUUAACUGAUGCCGUGUUACAGAAGAUUGAACUUGCCUCCCAAGCGGCCAAGUUCUUAUCUUCAAACUUGUGGGACCACUUAGGGCAGAAUUCAGAAGGCGUGAGUUGAGAGAGGCUAGGGUAUGACGCGGACUAUACCAUAGCUACUGCACAUAAUUGGAGCGGGGCCCCCAUUUUGGCGAUGGUGGAGCCGAUGUAUAAUAUAAGGGAUGAUGAUGGCGUGACUCAUGAGCCAUAAGCUGUGGCCUAAAGGAGGGCCUUUGGUUCGGCCAUCGAAGUGUUUCAGAACUUCAGGAAUUAUUUUUAAUAAUUUUGUCACGCAUAAUACAAGCCACCUGAUUAAAAUACUGAAUUUUCAUUUACCUUCAGUCUCAUUCCCGAUGCUCUCGACCUGUGAGCCCAAGUAAGCUUUAGUGACCUUUACGUCACUUUUUUCUAGUAGAUAGUACAGAGCUAGUCUAUACUGAGGCGAUUUCAUUGUACAGCUGCCCUGAACCGACCCAGAGUGUACUUCAGAUCAUGCCGU